UCCUCGUUUAGACGAGGCAGUCUGUCCAGAGUGCUUCCCGCUCUCGCGGGAGUGGCAACAGGACACAAGGGUUGCGCUCGUUGCGGGACUUAACCCAACAUCUCACGACACGAGCUGACGACAGCCAUGCAGCACCUGUGCACGAGUCCCGAAGGAAGACCGGGGUUUCCCCCAGCUGUCCCGUGCAUGUCAAGCCCAGGUAAGGUUCUUCGCGUUGCUUCGAAUUGAACCACAUGCUCCACCGCUUGUGCGGGCCCCCGUCAAUUCCUUUGAGUUU
RNAcentral lists this unclassified non-coding RNA (277 nucleotides) under uncultured bacterium. RNAcentral's name for it is "contains 16S-23S intergenic spacer region". The record is from RNAcentral.